AUCCAAAAAGAGGGGCCAAAUCAUUUUUCUUUUACAAGAAGCUAAUAUAGAUAUGUCAUAUAGAUUAUUCUUAUAAAUGUUUUUUAUGCAAAUUUACUACCAUGACCUUCUGUUGAUACACGUGAUCUGGAAAACCAUACCUUGUAAGGGGUCAUUAGGACCAAUAUGGGAAUCCAAAUCAUCCUGGUAAGAAAUAGCCUUAUGUUUUUACUACAAUUUUUUUCUAUUAUUUCUUUUCCAGUUACUUAUAACAUUUCACAUAAACAGAAGAAAAUGUUGAUAGUUGUUCAAAAAGAACAUAAGUAUCGUGCUCAAGAAAUAGCUUAUGUUUUUACUACAAUUUUUUCUAUCAUUUCUUUUCCAGUUACUUGUAACAUUUCACAUAAACAGAAGAAAAUGUUGAUAGUUGUUCAAAAAGAACAUGAGUAUCGUGCUCAAGAAAUAGCAAUGUAUUUACCUAAAUACCAAAUUACAACAAUCCACUUUAAAUUUUACUGGCACAAGCAAAGUGCUUACAUUUCCCCUGAUUAUAACAACCAACAAACUAAAACUAUUCUAUAAUCAUGAAUAUUGACAAAGUAUGUUGCUAUCACAGGAAAGAAACUGAAAGUAGGAUGUUAUGUUAGUGUGAGUGGUUGUUUGUGCUUGCAUACUCCCCAAGGCUGAUGUUUCAAGCUAACCCUUUUUUCAUUUUCUUGACAGUUAUAAUUGUUUACAUUAAAGUUUUCCAAGAAGUCAACAAUAUAAAUGAUAAUUAUACAUAUAGGAAUUUCAUUUUAUAGAUUAGCUGCUGAGAUUUUCUCUUUAUUUUGAAUACCUAAUAGUGUGACAUGAAAUUAACUCUGUUUCUAGAUCAAAAUAUUUAAGGUUGAGAUUUACAAUCAUAGAUUUGGCAUUCAACCUUUGUUACAGCUAGACCAUUUUGGGCCAAAAGUUUUAGGGGUCAAAAAAUAGUACAAAAAAU
Molecule: long non-coding RNA, 964 nt
Filed under: Lactuca sativa (garden lettuce)
Lineage: Eukaryota; Viridiplantae; Streptophyta; Magnoliopsida; Asterales; Asteraceae
Description: long non-coding RNA (LSAT_LNC005250)
Source: RNAcentral